Small nucleolar RNA from Sparus aurata (gilthead seabream), 136 nucleotides. Lineage: Eukaryota; Metazoa; Chordata; Actinopteri; Spariformes; Sparidae. The record is from Ensembl.
GUGCACAGUGAACACCCAGGGGUGCUACCAUGGCUCCCCCUGGUCUCUUGCAUCUGUGCGAUAGUAAAUCUGAUCUGUACCUCUGCAUUAGAGGAGUCCACUUCUCCCUACAUGUAUUCAACGGAUCAGAAUAUAC